Molecule: non-coding RNA, 46 nt
Organism: Picea glauca (white spruce)
Lineage: Eukaryota; Viridiplantae; Streptophyta; Pinopsida; Pinales; Pinaceae
Source: Rfam
GUAAUGGUGUCUUUAGACACCACCACUUCUUGGAAUUCAUUAUUCU